RNAcentral lists this ribosomal RNA (2166 nucleotides) under Triticum aestivum (bread wheat). RNAcentral describes it as "partial small subunit ribosomal RNA". The record is from RNAcentral. Lineage: Eukaryota; Viridiplantae; Streptophyta; Magnoliopsida; Poales; Poaceae.
AUGACCAAGCCAAGAGCAAGAAUCAUGUCACUUGGAGAAAAAUUCAAGAUUUGUGUCAAUAUGACCAAAUCAAGAACCAUCAUAUGGAGGAAAAAGCAAGGAUCAUGCUACUUGAAGAAAGGCAAUGCGCCGUUGACGCAGAGGCUGGGAGGCGGGCACGCGUUGCCGGGGGCGGCGGAGCAGAUGUUCGCCACGCUCGUCGGCGACUACCCGAUCUCCUCCGAGUUCUGGAGGCAGCUGCUCGAGCUGCUCCUCACCCAGCAGUGGCCACGGGACCGCCUGCUGCAGGCAUGCGACGCCUUCCUUAAGGACCAACGACUCGAGAUCCAGACCACACAUACGCCUACAGUUGCUCUGAUCGCUUCCGUUUCCGCCCUUUUGUUGUUGCUUCGGAUGAUGAUUAAUUGUUGUUUUGCGGGUUUUGGUCUGCAGGGGCAAUGCGGAUCAUGUGAUUUAUGCGUGCGCGGCUGUGGGUCGCACCGUUUAUCUGCUGCUUUGAGGGAUUAUAUACCUCUGUUCUUACCUAGCUAUGAAACUGAGCUAGGUAGCUAUAUCCAACAUGAAGCUUUGAUGCUCCUGCAGAUGGCGGCAAUACCACCUAAUGAGGAGACCAAAGGGUUGCUAACCUGGGAAAGUUACAGUUGUUUAUCUUCUUCCCAUCGUACCUCCUCCAUUGGUGGUCGUAGUUGUGCGGUGCAAAGGUAUCCACCUUCCUCGAUGGCUUCUCCACACAGGUCCAUCAGGAGGAAGAUCAAAGAUGAAACUAAAGCUUUCAGCAUAUGUGACCCACUCUAUAUCGAGGAAAUGCUUUCGCCCAAUCCUCCCGCGCGCUCCGCUCCCAAUACUCGUCGCACACCAGAGCCCACACCCGCACCAACCCUAGCCACCACACCUCAUCUUCCUCCCUCGCUCUGCCCCAACCUAGCCGCCACACCUCUCCUUCCUCCCUUGCUCGACGCCAUAGGCGCCGCAGCCCCUACCUCCUUCCUGCUCAUCUGGAUAGCCGCCGGCCGCCACAUCCUUUCUCCUCCUUCUUCCUCCUCGCUGGCGCCCCUCGCCCUCCCGCCAAGCCUCCUCGUCAAGCCCGUGCCCCCUCCGCCUUGUCUCCUCUGUGCUCCCUCCUCUCCCACGUCGCCACCCUCGAGCCCGCACCCCCUCCGCCUCGUCUCCUCCCCGCUCCCUCCUCUCAAAACCCGCGCCAUUGACGUGCCGUCAGGGACGCCGUCGACACGUCGGGGAUACGCCGCAAUGGAGCUCAAACAAGAGCAGGGCAGCGGAUUGGAUCGAGGGCACCCGAUGACCUCGCCGCCGCUGUCACCUGGAUUUGCUAGCCGCCGCGUGGAGUCUCCCUGGCCGCUGCCUCGGGUCACCUCCGUCGCCGCCGCGAGUCAGCUCCACUUUUGCCGCCAGGAAUCUCGUCCUCAGCAAGGUAUGCUUCGAAUCCCUGCUCUCCCUGGUCCUCCUGCCCUACUUGCUGCGUCUAUGUUGUAUGUGUUUAGCCAUGAUCUACUCGAGGAAGCUCGAAUUCCUCGAGUUUUACAGGCCGGAAACCUCCGAUCGCUUAGGCCCCAUGGCAGCAGCCGGAUCGGGCGGUGGUGGAAGGCCAUGGAGGGUGUGGCGCAUCCGGGCAGAACCAACAUGGGUUGGUGGAGCGACGGAUGCGGGCAGAGUCAGCGGUUAGGGGCACUGCGAGGAGUGGAAGGCAGCGGUCAUGCGCCAAAUCGGACCAGCAGCAGCAAGGAGCUGCUGGUGGUUCAGGUUUGCCUCAAUGGUCGUCAGCUCCAGCCCCGGCCCGGACAGUGCCAUGGAUCCGGUGAAGUGGUCCACGCUGAGGAAGAGGCAAACAACGCAGGGAAGAAGCCAACGUUCUUGUGGUUUGUUCUCCUGUCGAUUUCCCCUCUUGCCUGGUCUGAUUUUGUGGUGAAAACAAUGGUGGAUUUCUCUGCUGGGUGGUCUAAUGUGGGGUUGAUUUAUGCCCUCGAUUCCUUCCUUUUCUGUUCCCUGUGUAACCAUCAGAUGCCAUUGCUCUUUUAUUUAGUUGAAUGCAGUUCCCUGUGUAACCAUCAGAUGCCAUUGCUCUUUUAUUUAAUUGAAUGCAGGUUUAAGGUGUUUGGUUUAGUCAAGUGUGCAUCAAGGAGAUGGCUAGCCGCACAAUGCUGGGUAUAG